UGCCGGGUAGUGUAAUUGGCAACACAGCGGCCUUUGGAGCCGCUCUUCCAGGUUCGAGUCCUGGCCCGGCAGCCA
This 75-nucleotide transfer RNA is filed under the name Armatimonadota bacterium. Its description in RNAcentral is "Armatimonadetes bacterium tRNA-Gln". It matches the Rfam family "tRNA". Rfam says of the family: Transfer RNA (tRNA) molecules are approximately 80 nucleotides in length. Their secondary structure includes four short double-helical elements and three loops (D, anti-codon, and T loops). The record is from RNAcentral. Lineage: Bacteria; Bacillati; Armatimonadota.